UGAUGUAGCUCAGUCGGUAGAGCGCAUCCUUGGUAAGGAUGAGGUCGGCGGUUCAAAUCCGCCCAUCA
This 68-nucleotide transfer RNA is filed under the name mouse gut metagenome. It matches the Rfam family "tRNA". From Rfam's summary of the family: Transfer RNA (tRNA) molecules are approximately 80 nucleotides in length. Their secondary structure includes four short double-helical elements and three loops (D, anti-codon, and T loops). The record is from RNAcentral. RNAcentral also lists the same sequence under 3 other names.